CAGCAGCCGCGGUAAUACGGAGGGGGCUAGCGUUGUUCGGAAUUACUGGGCGUAAAGCGCACGUAGGCGGCUUGGUAAGUUAGAGGUGAAAGCCUGGAGCUCAACUCCAGAAUUGCCUUUAAGACUGCCGAGCUAGCAGGUGAGAGAGGUAAGUGGAAUUCCGAGUGUAGAGGUGAAAUUCGUAGAUAUUCGGAAGAACACCAGUGGCGAAGGCGGCUUACUGGCUCAUACCGGACGCUGAGGUGCGAAAGCGUGGGGAGCAAACAGGAUUAGAUACCCCAGUAGUCCCUGUCUCUUAUAC
RNAcentral lists this ribosomal RNA (301 nucleotides) under uncultured bacterium. RNAcentral's name for it is "partial 16S ribosomal RNA". It matches the Rfam family "Bacterial small subunit ribosomal RNA", at positions 509 to 807 of the family's 1533-position model. The record is from RNAcentral.